UAGCAAAUGUAGCACACAUCUCAUGUAUCUCCUUACAGUAAACUCGAAAAAAGGUAACAAUGUCCUUUGAGGUCUGACCAAACCCUCAUGAUAAUAUUGAUUUUGAGCAUGCCAAAGUGCCCAAAUGGUAAUAAGAAUGGCAGUAACAGCAGACCCUUUGUAUCUGCUAAAUAAGGAGGAACAUGCAACCACUCCUAACUAUUUAAGUCCCUGUACUAUCUCC
Molecule: long non-coding RNA, 223 nt
Filed under: Gossypium barbadense (sea-island cotton)
Lineage: Eukaryota; Viridiplantae; Streptophyta; Magnoliopsida; Malvales; Malvaceae
Description: long non-coding RNA (GBAR_LNC012238)
Source: RNAcentral